Molecule: ribosomal RNA, 720 nt
Filed under: uncultured Staphylococcus sp.
Lineage: Bacteria; Bacillati; Bacillota; Bacilli; Caryophanales; Staphylococcaceae
Description: bacterial SSU rRNA
Rfam family: Bacterial small subunit ribosomal RNA
Source: RNAcentral
GUCGAGCGAACGGACGAGAAGCUUGCUUCUCUGAUGUUAGCGGCGGACGGGUGAGUAACACGUGGAUAACCUACCUAUAAGACUGGGAUAACUUCGGGAAACCGGAGCUAAUACCGGAUAAUAUUUUGAACCGCAUGGUUCAAAAGUAAAAGACGGUCUUGCUGUCACUUAUAGAUGGAUCCGCGCUGCAUUAGCUAGUUGGUAAGGUAACGGCUUACCAAGGCAACGAUGCAUAGCCGACCUGAGAGGGUGAUCGGCCACACUGGAACUGAGACACGGUCCAGACUCCUACGGGAGGCAGCAGUAGGGAAUCUUCCGCAAUGGGCGAAAGCCUGACGGAGCAACGCCGCGUGAGUGAUGAAGGUCUUCGGAUCGUAAAACUCUGUUAUUAGGGAAGAACAUAUGUGUAAGUAACUGUGCACAUCUUGACGGUACCUAAUCAGAAAGCCACGGCUAACUACGUGCCAGCAGCCGCGGUAAUACGUAGGUGGCAAGCGUUAUCCGGAAUUAUUGGGCGUAAAGCGCGCGUAGGCGGUUUUUUAAGUCUGAUGUGAAAGCCCACGGCUCAACCGUGGAGGGUCAUUGGAAACUGGAAAACUUGAGUGCAGAAGAGGAAAGUGGAAUUCCAUGUGUAGCGGUGAAAUGCGCAGAGAUAUGGAGGAACACCAGUGGCGAAGGCGACUUUCUGGUCUGUAACUGACGCUGAUGUGCGAAAGCGUG